Non-coding RNA from Triticum aestivum (bread wheat), 115 nucleotides. The record is from Rfam. NCBI's taxonomy places the organism in Eukaryota, Viridiplantae, Streptophyta, Magnoliopsida, Poales, Poaceae.
CUACUACCCCCUCCGUUCGGAAUUACUUGUCUCGGAUAUGGAUGUAUCUAGAACUAAAAUACGUCUAGAUACAUCCAUUUUUGAGACAAGUAAUUCUGAACGGAGGGAGUAGUAU